UACAGAGGGGGCAAGCGUUAUUCGGAAUUAUUGGGCGUAAAGGGCGCGUAGGCGGCCAACUAAGUCGGACGUGAAAUCCCUCAGCUUAACUGGGGAACUGCGUCCGAUACUGGAUGGCUUGGAUUUGGGAGAGGGAUGCGGAAUUCCAGGUGUAGCGGUGAAAUGCGUAGAUAUCUGGAGGAACACCGGUGGCGAAGGCGGCAUCCUGGACCAAUAUUGACGCUGAGGAGCGAAAGCUAGGGGAGCAAACGGG
This 253-nucleotide ribosomal RNA is filed under the name uncultured bacterium. Its description in RNAcentral is "partial 16S ribosomal RNA". It matches the Rfam family "Bacterial small subunit ribosomal RNA", at positions 524 to 776 of the family's 1533-position model. The record is from RNAcentral.